RNAcentral lists this ribosomal RNA (253 nucleotides) under uncultured bacterium. Its description in RNAcentral is "partial 16S ribosomal RNA". It matches the Rfam family "Bacterial small subunit ribosomal RNA", at positions 524 to 776 of the family's 1533-position model. The record is from RNAcentral.
UACGUAGGGGGCAAGCGUUGUCCAGAAUUAUUGGGCGUAAAGAGCGUGUAGGCGGUCCGGUAAGUCCGCUGUGAAAGUCCAGGGCUCAACCCUGGAAUGCCGGUGGAUACUGCCGGGCUAGAGUCCGGAAGAGGCGAGUGGAAUUCCUGGUGUAGCGGUGAAAUGCGCAGAUAUCAGGAGGAACACCGAUGGCGAAGGCAGCUCGCUGGGACGGUACUGACGCUGAGACGCGAAAGCGUGGGGAGCAAACAGG